CCUGCACCCACACCGGCCCUUUUCGGAUAAGACUGGACACCCCUUGUGAAGAGGUUUAUCUUUUUUUUCAACCAAACAUUGGUUAUCUAAUGAUAACCAAACAUUCAAAUGGGCAAGAGGAGUGUGACUUUGACUGUGGUAUGAUUGCUGUUGCCAGCAUCUCAGAAACAAACUCGGUCCUGGGGGCCCCUGCGUAUGCUGGUUUUCAUUCCAACCUCCAACCUCAUCCCAGUAUUUUAACAGGCUGUUAAUUGUUCUUAAUUAGGUGCUUUUCAUGUUUUAGAGCUGGGGACCCCAGUCUUAUCCAGAAGGAGCCAGUGUGGGUGCACACACCUGAUUCUACUAAUCAACCACUGCACCUUGAUUAGUAGAAUGAGGUGUGUGCAGAUUGUAGUUGAGGCUGGAAUACACAGUGGUCUACCAGGAUUAAUUUUAAGAACUGCUGCUCUAGAGUUUCCAGAGAAUGACGUGAUACAAAAACGACCAGUGAGCAGUGGCUCUGUGGACCUCUGAAUGCACAAUAUGUCAAACCUUGAAGCGGAUGGGUUAAUGCAGCAGAGGACCACGCCAGGUUCCGCUUCUAUCAGCUAAGAACAGGAAAACGAGGCUACACCCAAACUGGAUGAUUGAAGAUUAUAAAAAGCCUGGUCUGACAAAUCUCAAUUUCUACUGCAACAUGCAGAUAUCAGUGUCAUAUUUUGGAGUAAACAACAUAAAUUCAUUGUUGCUGACCAUGUACAUCCCUUUGGGGCCACAGUCUACCCUUCAAAUGUAUACUACCAGCAGGAGAAUGUACCAUGUCACAAAGCAUGCAUAUUUGCGAGCUGGUCCCACAAACGACAGUGACUUCUGUUUACUCCAAUGGCUUGUACACUACUCAGAACUCAAGCCAAAAAAGCACCUUUGGGAUGAGGUUGAACGGGAGGUUCACAGCAUUAUGCGGUCAACAAAUCAACAGGAACUGCAUUCCGUCUAGUCAGCAUGGACCAAAAUCCUAAAGGAAUGUUUCCUGCACCUUUUCGAAUCCAUGUCACAAAUAAUUCAGGCUGUUCUGGAGGCAAAAGAGAGUCCCACCAGGAGCUCGAUAGGUGUGCCCACUGAAGUGACCGGAAUGCUAAACCUCGAAAAAGGGUGAAGCAAGGGCCCAGAGGCCGAAGGCCGCCUGGGUGAUUUGCCACCUCCACAGAACCGUUUCGUCUCCUGGAAACGCCUUCAUCUUGAGGGAUGCCCGUGGCUGAGAGGAAGCUGGACAGGGGGAGAUGGAGCAGCACGGAGACGGAGAGAGGCAGGAAACCGAAAUGGAGAGACAGCUUGUCACAAAUACAGCCACAGCCAGCAGGGCACAGAGGCACACAUGCCAAGAGGAGCGAUCCAGAGGAGGUCGGAGAACAGCAAGUACUUGCACCCUUUUCUCACCCAUUUCACCCACUGUUUGAUGAGCACUAGUGCUAUUAAUAUAGUAUUUUUACAUAUGGACAUGUUUGUAUAUGAAUCAUGGUCUUGAGUAGGUGGAGCCCCAAGCUCAGCCAUUGACCAGGAGCAUAAUACUGGCUAAAACAUGACAGAGUCAAACCGUUUAUGGGAAACCCAGUUUCACCUAGCCAGUCUGGAGAGAGAAACAUCUUGUGUCAAGACUAUAUUUGUAAUCGAAUGUAAUUUAAAUGAAAUAGGCAGUGGGGCUUCUCAGUGGCUCAGUCAAGGAAGGCAAUCACUCACAAAACAGGAUUUGAACCACAACCCAGAAAUUGCUCAUUCAAGUCUGGGCUACUGUACGUCAUUAGCCACCCAUGACACCGAAGAGUUCACAAUGGUAGGCACAGCUGCCUUUGUCCUGUUAGAGGAAGCUAUGCUUAAGCCAUUUUAAAGUGACCUUGCUCUGCAGUUCCUGCUCCCGCAGCUGCAGGUGCCGUAAUGGUCAAAUGGUGAUUCCACAGUUAAUAUGCAAAAAAAAAAAAAAAAUGGGGGGGGGGAGGGGGAGAGAGAGUUGGUAGUCCAAAAACAGUGCAGUCAUUAAAUCUGUGCCAGUACACUGAAUUUUGGCAAAUGUCAUGUGUGCCUCUGUAUAGGGGCCAGGAAUUAGACUGGGUUCAAUAUUUACAUGGCAUAUAUUUAAAGGCUAAAAUAAUAAUUGAAAAAAAUGUUAUUGCAGUAUCAUUGCAAUAUCACACAUUGUACAUUCACUGUCAAAGAUGUGGUGAGUUUUUCGACUGGUGGCUGCAAUCUCAAAUUACCUGAGCCAUUGAUUCUGAAUUUGUCUAAUACCUGCGCCACCUCGUGUCAGUUGAAUUCUCUCGGCAGAAUAAAUAAUAUAUUGCACGGCAACUCAUUGGAAAGGAUAGCUCAGCCGAACAAGAACUCAUAAGCAGUGUGGCUUUUGAUAUAUGCAGGGGAGUUUCAUACUGAAAUCAUUGGUUUCAUUAUAAUAAAGUACUACGGUGAAUAUAUUUAUUAAGAGAUUUGACAAACAAAUGUAUUCAUAACUGAAAUGUCAUGACUUGGAAAUGUUUCUUUCAUAAUGCCGUGUCUGUACUUCAUUUCAUAUCUAAAAUAUUCAGUUCGUAACCUGGAAAAUGGUGGAACUCAGUUAAAAUUUAAAAGACAGAACUUUUGUUACUUAACUUUUGGCAACUUCAAUUAGUAACCCGUGAAACAAUAUAUUACUACUUUUCCUUUGUUUUUAAAGCAUAUCUCUCACAGUCAUUCACACAUUAAAACUUAAAAUUUCUAGACAAUAAUGAAUCUUAGAUGCUUCAAGGUAUGUAUUAUCUGGCUAUCUAUGGCAGCCUACUGUGUGUUCAUUGAAAUACAUAUAUUCAAGAAUUAAUGUCUCACUAGGUGGCUUUUCUUUGCUCUUUAUGCCGUAUACAGGUAAUAUUCCUGACAUUAAGCCACACUUGAGAGAAAAGUAAGUUUAAUUGAGAAGCAACCGUUUAUUGCCAAAUUUCAAAGUGUGGACAAAGAAGAUAUUUAAGAUUUUAAUUCUAAAUAGCAUGAGCAAAUUGCUGAAAGGAAAAAAAAAGAUACAAAGAAAGAAAAAAAGACAUGUCAAUGCUAGGCCUUCAUCAAUCAAACCCAAUGUCAAAGCAACAUGCUCGGUUCAAUUUUCAACUCGCUGCCCCACAAAACCACUUCUUAUUUUCUCUCUGCAAUCUCCCACCGCAAAUGUAUGGAUCAUUGUCUGGUGGGAGCCGAGGGUGACGGAGCCCAGACGCGCGCUGUCUGUCUGACGCUGGUGCCACCGGGUCCGGGAGCCUUUGGACCCCUGCCCUCAGUCAGCCGGCAGUUUGCCGUACCUGCAUUUUCUCCACAAUCGGGCCUCGCCGCCCGGCCGUCUCCCAACUGCCACCUACGCAUAACCUCACACUGAUCGGAGGCUGUUCUGUGUCAACCCCCCUCCCCCCCCCCCUCCUUCUCCCCAAGCCUCCCAAUGCUGUUUGCUUUAAAAACAAAUGCUUCGGGAAACAAAAACAUUACAAAGAGUGAAAAUAAAUAAAAGCGCUCAAAACAAAACAGGGCAUUCAACGGGGGUGCUUAAAGUGUACAUAGCGUUGCGAAAAUAAAAUGUAAAGAUUUGCGAGGCUCGAACGAGCCGGUAAUCUGAUGCUCGACUUUUUUUGUACCCGAAUGAAAGUGCGGGAGCUGUCUGAUGAAUCUACAACUUUGUUUUCUGUGUAUAAAAAUACUCGGGCUCCUGGGAGCGUGCUUCAUUCAACUUCAGUGUGAGGUGGAGAACAUGCUGUUAGAGUAACUUGUACAGAAGUGUUUAAGUUAUGACAAUCGGUAAUGCAGACUUAUUUUUUUCUUUCUUUUACUUCUCGAGUUGAAAACAGUGUUUUUAAGUUACUAUUACAGUCAUCUUUUUUUGUCAAUUUCCUGAUACUUCCUAGCUAUGAGUUUAAUAACCAGAUAGUGGUCAUUGAGCAUGAAACAUGGUGCCUGAACAAGUAAAGUAAUUUUAUGUAGUGUGGAAAGGAGUGCAAUAUUUAUCAAAUUGUUUUUCUUUCCUCAGAACUUUGUCCAAUUUCUCAGUGUUUUGUGACAUCAUUAGUGUGCUGGUAAGGUGUUGAAUCUUCAGUUAAGUGCCAAGUGUUAAGUACCUUAUUUGAGUAAACCAGCACACAUAGCCUAAUUUACGGUAAGCGCUGUUAUUCCUUGUUUCAUUUCCUGGCUGUACUUUUAAGUGGCAUUAUAAUCAGGAAGUCAAGAGGAGAGUCCUCUUCAGAGCACAUUUAUGUAAUCCAAAUCAAUCCAUCAAACUCUUUUUAAUAUGUUCUUAGCACAGAAAAUGAACUGUAUAUAUUCACUGAAUGAACUGCAAGGACAUAAUGUGAAAUUUGGGGGAGAGAGCAUUCAGAAUAGGCCAACACAUACAUGCUUGAACAGACAAUUAGGGAAUCACACGUUUUCACAAUAGUUUUCAUAUCAUUUUGUACAGUAUGACCACAGUUACAUUGACCCAGUCUUGGUCAAAAUGUCAAGAAAUGUUCUAAAUAAAAGUCUGAUUGAAAUAUAACCAUAUUAUUCCAGCCCAGUUCACAGAAUGUGUAAAUGGGCAUAGAACCUACGAAAAUGCAUAAUGAGUGUUUGGGCUACGCGUGUUGUGCCAGUAAUUUGCUCCGCAGACCAGAAUGAUGUUUGCUUAACGUCCAUUGCAUUUAGCUGUACAUAGCCGCGCUGAGCAUGGGGGUGGAAGGCAAAUGAAACCUGGGAUUGUUGAAAAUCUGCGACGUUGGGAAGAUCGCAGAUGGCUUGCCAAUGCACAGCCUAGCGGAAACCAAGAGGGAGGGUGAAUCUGAGCUCCAACUUCUGCUGGAGCUUUGCUCUCUUUGAGAUCCAAAGCUGCUCGUUUUUACAACAAUCUUGCAGGAAUUAUGACCAACGGAAAUCCCUUUCAGGCUUCUGCGGUUCUGUGUUGCGGUUCUCGCUGUGCACUCCUACCCCGUCUUUAGAUUUCAGUUUUUUUUUUCUUUUAAAUUGCAUCCUUUUUAAAAAUAACCCCAUGUAACAUGCAUUUGACCCUUUCAAGAUAUAUGGCCAUUCGUACAGUCGCAAGCUGGAAUUACGAGCGCUCUGAGAAUCCAUGUGAGAUCAUGUGUAAAAUAAUUACAGGUUAUGCUAAUAAGAAUAUACAAAUGUUGCAAAUAAAGACGCUGCUGUUGGGAUAACAAGUCAGGACAGUUCAGAGGACAAAACAAUAUUUAUUACAACCUACACAACAGAGAGAUUUCUAAGUAAAGUGUAUCGAAUUCCUUGCCAAGGGUCUCAAGCUCUUUAAAAGCAGACUCAGCAGCCAGUAGUUUAUAAUUAAUAAUUCAUGUCUUUGUAUGGGCAGUACAACAGCUAUAACGUGAAGAAAUAUUUCAAAUGAAAAAACGUAUAGAAAUUCAUGGAUGUGGAUUUUGCAGUAUUUUCAAAGUAGCCACAUCUAUAAUCAGAAAUAUAUUAUUUAUUAUGGGACAUGACCGGCUAUAUUUUAUUCAGCAGAAAAAUAGAAUUCAUGCAGGUUACCGGAGUUAGUCUUGUGUAAGGACCACAUGUGCCCUCUUCCUGUUUGAAUUUUAAAGGGACAGUCAAAAAGACAAGCACUACACCGAGAAACACAUUUCCUGCACUGGAUAAUAGACAAACCUAAAAAAAAAAAAUAGAGCAUGAGAGAAUCCGAGAGAGGGAAUGGGGAAGAAAAAAAAAAAAAAAAAAAAAAACACAACAGCAUAACAUGGGUGAACAUAAAGAAUUAAACAAAGACGUUGACCCACAAACACUUUUCAAAAAGGGACGACCGGCCCCGCUCCGU
This is a long non-coding RNA of Anguilla rostrata (American eel), 5794 nucleotides long. RefSeq lists it as uncharacterized. The transcript is spliced from 3 exons. Lineage: Eukaryota; Metazoa; Chordata; Actinopteri; Anguilliformes; Anguillidae. The record is from RefSeq and is a predicted model, not a curated record.